Molecule: long non-coding RNA, 199 nt
Filed under: Lathyrus oleraceus (garden pea)
Lineage: Eukaryota; Viridiplantae; Streptophyta; Magnoliopsida; Fabales; Fabaceae
Description: Pisum sativum (pea) long non-coding RNA (PSAT_LNC034360)
Source: RNAcentral
UUUUCAUUAUGUUGAUAACAAUUCAUCAUUUCCAUGUCCCACUAUCCCUUCACCUACCGUAAAUCCAAUUGCUUUUAAUUUUAUAACCAAUCCUCAUCAAACAACUUCCAUAACUACUCAUGCUAAAACUGCUCAGUUUGAAAAAGUUCAUUAUGAACAAAUUCUCUCUGAAAUAGUUCAUGUUGAACCCUUUGUUUCU